Non-coding RNA from Drosophila virilis, 2324 nucleotides. The record is from RefSeq and is a predicted model, not a curated record. Lineage: Eukaryota; Metazoa; Arthropoda; Insecta; Diptera; Drosophilidae.
CCUCUUUACAUUGGGAAUAUAAUCAACAUUGAUGCAUUGCUGCUCAAAUGGAACAACGAAGAUCAGGGUUCGAGUCCCCUAAUGACAAAGGUCCCUUGCAACACCUUUAGCUAACACUUGCUAAGCAUUUAAAAUUGAUUAUGUGGAGACUCUGGGUUGCAGCACUUGCGACUUGAUCAAUUAUGCUUGAAAACCGGAUGGGGGCGUGUACUUAUCCUGUCGCGCCCUCGUGCUGUCAUCAUUAAUGCAAGCCCAAGAAAUUAAAGUGAAUUCUGAUGUCGCUCGAAAAAGUUGCUGGCCGACGCUGUGGCGGCUUUUGGUGGUUGCUCAAAGGAUUUCAAGGACAACGAGCUACCACAUCAAGAACCUUAAUAUGCGCAUCCAUUCCUGCCAAGGAAUAAAAAUCAACUCACAUAAAACGCCGCUUAAUGCGCUUUUGUCAAUAAUCAAUUUUCACUGAGCCCUGCAAGCGCGCGUUUAAUAAUGCCAAUUUAUUUGCUCUCCGAAAGGGUUGACUGAAAAAACCAAACCAGACCAGAACAGAACAGAGCAGAGCAGACCGCCCGCCCCCACUCCAUAUGUGACUCCUGCACGUGUCUUCGUCUGGUGCACCCAAAUACCCGCAAUUUAUCUAUUUGAUUUUUUGGGCAUGUGACAUUGCGUCGCGUCUGAGCCCUGACAAAACUUUCGCUUUGGCUCGUUUCGCAAAGUUUAAUUCGCAGCUCGAGUCCUUUGGUUGGGGAAACGUGAAACGUGUCAAAUGCUCGAUCAGUUAAGCUGCGCUGCGUAUUAGCCCCGUGUGUGGCACAGAUUUGUCUAAUGCACGAUUAUAAACAGACUUAAGUGAGCCGAGCUAAGAGUUCAGCUGGCUAAAAAAGGGAGCUGAGCAGCUCCCAUCUAGUGGAACCGGAAGAAACACAAUUUGAUGCAUAAGCUGAUGCUUUUUUGAGCCGACCGACGUCGGGUAAUUUCCCCUAGUAAAUAUAUAUGUAUGUAUGUACAUAUAUGUUCAUAUGUAACUAGAGUAUGUUUGCAUUGUCUCUGCAUAUGCCUUAUACUUGCAAAAAUAUAUACACAGAUUCUUGAGCAUCUGGAACAUUGAUGUCUCAAUAAAUGGAAUUGCUGUGUAGAGAUGUAGAGAUCACAUUGAUCAUUGACAAAGUGUGGCAAGCAUUGUUGCAGCCACCGUUUGUUACAUGCCACCCAGUUUGUAUGCCUACGAUCCUCAAGUGGCCCGUGGUCCAUUGAUAAUGGCUGUGUGGACACGAUGCCAGCCAGCAUCAUUUGCAGGUGACAAAGCAACUUUGUCGACUCCAGGACUUCAUUUGCCAGCUGACCACACGCACUGCUCCGGGGCAAACCUAAUGAGAACAAUUAGUGCAAAUUUUUGGCUGCAUUUGCUGUGUUUUCUUUCAAAUUUUUUCUCUUUUUUUUUUUUGCAUUUUAUUCUUCCUCUGGUUUUUGUGUGGACUGUGUUUUUGUGAAUGGUGCCGGAGCGAGCUGAGCCAACCCAAGGAGCGUUUCUCAUUUACGGGGUCGAACGACGGGAGACUUUGCCCGUGCGGCAAGUGCAUCGCGCUCUCGACUCGGCUCAACGGCGACAACAUAAUCAGCAGCAGCAGCAGCAGCGGCAGCGGCCGUUUCAGCGGGCACUUCGGGGCAGCAGGGUGCAGUGCGUCCGCUGUGAAAGACGCUGGAGGCCAUUUGCCACAGUGGCGCGGGGCAGCAGCGUGCGGAGAAGCGUGAAAAGGCAGGAGCGGCAGCAAGUCUCGAAUUCUACAAAGCCAGAGCAGGACCAAAACAGAGAGAGAGAGAGAGAGAGAGACAAAGAGGGAGGCAGGACUGGCGGGGUAGCGAAGCAUGCACAAAUGGCUGAAAAAUUGCACGCCAGGAUGCUAAAGGAUGUGGCACGUCACUCGGCACAGACACUUCAAUUAUGAGAAAGCUCGAGUUGCAUUGUUUUGAGUUUCCUUUUUUUCCGUUGUGUUUUCCUUAAAAAGCAAGCAACAAUUUUAUGACGCGUGCAGGCGAAUUUAUGAUAGGGAUCACAACAGAGAUUAUGUAACCUGGAAAUUGGAGAAAAGCAGAAAUUUCGGCCUUUCGGCUGAGCCGAAGAAAACAUCGGGAUCUGUUCACUUUACCAUGACGAGAAAAUGUCCAGCGAAAUAAUUAUAUUCCGCUUCAUACUGCUGCAUGGCAAAUAUUUAGGUAAUUUACGAAAUUGUAUUUUCGAAGGCAACUAGAAGAAGAUUUCGGUUCCAGCUCCAGGCUAAGGCAUGGUUGCAGUAAUAUCUUAGAGUAGGGCUAUAGACGCCAGUGCUAUU